GAUGAACGCUGGCGGCGUGCCUAAUACAUGCAAGUCGAGCGAACAGACGAGGAGCUUGCUUCUCUGACGUUAGCGGCGGACGGGUGAGUAACACGUGGAUAACCUACCUAUAAGACUGGGAUAACUUCGGGAAACCGGAGCUAAUACCGGAUAAUAUACUGAACCGCAUGGUUCAAUAGUGAAAGACGGUUUUGCUGUCACUUAUAGAUGGAUCCGCGCCGCAUUAGCUAGUUGGUAAGGUAACGGCUUACCAAGGCAACGAUGCGUAGCCGACCUGAGAGGGUGAUCGGCCACACUGGAACUGAGACACGGUCCAGACUCCUACGGGAGGCAGCAGUAGGGAAUCUUCCGCAAUGGGCGAAAGCCUGACGGAGCAACGCCGUGUGAGUGAUGAAGGUCUUCGGAUCGUAAAACUCUGUUAUUAGGGAAGAACAAAUGUGUAAGUAACUAUGCACGUCUUGACGGUACCUAAUCAGAAAGCCACGGCUAACUACGUG
This 497-nucleotide ribosomal RNA is filed under the name uncultured bacterium. Its description in RNAcentral is "partial 16S ribosomal RNA". It matches the Rfam family "Bacterial small subunit ribosomal RNA", at positions 28 to 507 of the family's 1533-position model. The record is from RNAcentral.